GUGGGGAAUUUUGGACAAUGGGCGCAAGCCUGAUCCAGCAAUGCCGCGUGCAGGAAGAAGGCCUUCGGGUUGUAAACUGCUUUUGUACGGAGCGAAAAGGUUCCCUCUAAUACAGGGGGCUCAUGACGGUACCGUAAGAAUAAGCACCGGCUAACUACGUGCCAGCAGCCGCGGUAAUACGUAGGGUGCAAGCGUUAAUCGGAAUUACUGGGCGUACAGCGUGCGCAGGCGGUUGUGUAAGACAGGCGUGAAAUCCCCGGGCUCAACCUGGGAAUGGCGCUUGUGACUGCAGAGCUGGAGUGCGGCAGAGGUGGAUGGAAUUCCGCGUGUAGCAGUGAAAUGCGUAGAUAUGCGGAGGAACACCGAUGGCGAAGGCAAUCCCCUGGGCCUGCACUGACGCUCAUGCACGAAAGCGUGGGGAGCAAACAGGAUUAGAUACCCGUGUAGUCC
This 450-nucleotide ribosomal RNA is filed under the name uncultured bacterium. RNAcentral describes it as "bacterial SSU rRNA". It matches the Rfam family "Bacterial small subunit ribosomal RNA", at positions 354 to 796 of the family's 1533-position model. The record is from RNAcentral.